GGCCGCCUGGCGAAAUGGCAUCGCGUCUGACUACGAUCCAUCUUUCAACAUUAACCCUUAAUCAGGAGAUUGCAGGUUCGACCCCUGCGGUGGUCA
Non-coding RNA from Rhodocollybia butyracea, 96 nucleotides. The record is from the annotation of a GenBank genome assembly. Lineage: Eukaryota; Fungi; Basidiomycota; Agaricomycetes; Agaricales; Omphalotaceae.